CGUAAUGAUCCCGGGAGUCAGUUCUAUGUUUAUCUAUUUCUUCCUGUUACUGCAUCAUUACUGUCCCCUCUUAGGGAGAGUUCCAUUGUGGAGGUGUCCAUCGCACUGACAGGAAUACUGCAUUAGUAACCAAAACAACAGUACCUUACUGAAGGUUAUACUCCCCUGCCACUUGAUAGGCCUACAUGCAUGCCCUGUCCUAGGAGAGUAAUAGUGUGCAAUUUGGGACACAGUCCCAGUCCCACCAUCACCCCGAAGGCAGCCGGCUGAUUUUCCAGCAAGGCUUUAAUGAGAAUCGCAGACAGGAGGAGAGGAAACGUAGAGUGUAUUUAUAGAACCGGGAGGAAUGCAACCCCCUAAUUAUUCUUGUCUAUCUACCUCCCCACAGGAUAACCUGCUGCUCACCAUUUACUUCCUGUGUAUGUCCCAAAUGGCACCCUAUUCCCUGUAUAGUGCAUUACGUUUGACGAGGGCCUGAAACAAUUGCACUAUAUAGGGAAAAGGGUGCCAUUUGGGACGCAACCCCUGUUUUUCAACACUGACUUGGUGGAGGGGGGAAAAGUCGCGACAGAAACCGGAAGCAGGCCAAAGAGAAGGACAAUAGAAAAGUGUGUGUAAAUACCAGACUGAGGUACUGUAAAUUGGCUUGGUUUAGGCCAUCCAUACCACCUGUCUUCUAAAACAAAGCAAAGUCGACCUAGUACAUCAGAGGAGAUGAGCAGCAUGGAAAGUUAGUGUAAUCUUCUCCCCUCCAUCCACACACACACAAUAACACAAGAGCAUGUGCUGUCAACCGUUAUGUCACUUUGCAUGCAACGGAGCACUGAAAUCUGUGGUGUAAAAGGUCCAAACAUCAGAGCAAGCUCACAGUUUGUUUGCAUUUCUUCAUAAUGAGGUACGAUGACAGAUUGACCUAUUGAGGGAGGAAAAACACAGGCUGUAUCCCAAAUGGCACCCAAUUCCCUAUAUAGUGCACUACUUUUGCAGUAGAGCCCUAUGGGCCCUGGAUGCACACCCUAUUGAGGAACAGAGCACACAUGCAACUUUAAAUAGAUGGUAGAUGGUCCAUUUAUUCAUACAUAGUAGAGUAUCUGGAGAUCUAAAUUAAAGAUUGUUAUUAUAACAGUAGUCCUAUUCCCCAGGCUAUAGUCUAGCGUUUGGUCCAGACCUGGGUUCAAACACUAUUUGGACUAUUUCAAAUACUUUAGCUGUGCCUGAUUGAACUUGCCUCUUGCAAUGGAACCAAUAGACAUGUCCCAAAUGUUGCAAACCCUGCCCAUCCUUACAAAAAACCACAUGAUUUCACAUGUGGAAAACCACAUGAUUUCACGUGUGACAUUUCCACGUCUUGCACACAACAGUCUGUUGGAACAAUCUGGUCUCAUAGCAUUUUGUAUUAUUCUGAGAUCAUUAGAGAUGAUAUAAACCCUCCUGUCUCAGCCUCCAGUAUUUAUGCUGCAGUCGUUUAUGUGUCGGGGGGCUAGGGUCAGUUUGUUAUAUCUGGAGUACUUCUCCUGUCCUAUUCAGUGUCCUGUGUGAAUUUAAGUGUGUUCUCUCUAAUUCUCUCUUUCUCUCUUUCUUUCUCUCUCUCGGAGGACCUGAGCCCUAGGACCAUGCCUUAGGACUACCUGACAUGAUGACUCCUUGCUGUCCCCAGUCCACCUGGCCGUGCUGCUGCUCCAGUUUCAACUGUUCUGCCUUAUUAUUAUUGGACCAUGCGGGUCAUUUAUGAACAUUUGAACAUCUUGGCCAUGUUCUGUUAUAAUCUCCACCUGGCACAGCCAGAAGAGGAACGGCCACCCCACAUAGCCUGGUUCCUCUCUAGGUUUCUUCCUAGGUUUUGGCCUUUCUAGGGAGUUUUUCCUAGCCACUGUGCUUCUACACCUGCAUUGCUUGAUAUUUGGGGUUUUAGGCUGGGUACCUGUACAGCACUUUGAGAUAUCAGCUGAUGUACGUAGGGCUAUGUAAAUUAAUUUGAUUUGAUUUGAUAACAUUUCAUUGGGUAUGUAUUAAUUUGUGGAUGUUCAUCACCAAUUUUGUAUUAUAUGUUAUGAUCAUUAAGGACAACAACCACCCGAGCCACUGCCUGUUCACCCCGCUAUCAUCCAGAAGGCAAGGUCAGUACAGGUGCAUCAAAACAGGGACCGAGAGGCUGAAAAACAGCUUCUAUCUCAAGGCAAUCAGACAGUUAAACAGCCACCACUAACAUUGAGUGGCUGCUGCCAACAUACUGACUCAACUCCAGCUCACUUCAAUAAUGGAAAUUUAUGGAAAUUGAUGGAAAAAAUGUAUCACUAGCCACUUUAAACAAUGCCACUUAAUAUAAUGUUUACAUACCCUACAUUAUUCAUCUCAUAUGUAUAUACUGUACUCUAUAUCAUCUACUGCAUCUUGCCAUCAUUAUGUAAUACAUGUAUCACUUGCCACUUUAAACUAUGCCACUUAAUAUAAUGUUUACAUACCCUACAUUACUCAUCUCACAUCUAAAUACUGUACUUGAUACCAUCUACUGCAUCUUGCCUAUGCCGUUCUGUACCAUCACUCAUUCAUAUAUCUUUAUGUUCAUAUUCUUUAUCCCUUUACACUUGUGUGUAUAAGGUAGUAGUUGUGGAAUUGUUAGGUUAGAUUACUCGUUGGUUAUUACUGCAUUGUCGGAACUACAAGCACAAGCAUUUCGCUACACUCACAUUAACAUCUGCUAACCAUGUGUAUGUGACAAAUAAAAUUUGAUUUGAUUUGCACUACAAUUCGUAUUAUAUGUUACAAAUUUGCCAAAUGUACAAUAUGUUACAAAUUAGAAAAAUAUACAAUAUAUUACGUAUUUGCAAAAUGUAGUAUAUGUUAUGAAUUCUUGCUAGGUAGCUAGGUAACUAACAUUAGCUAACUGAAUUAGGGGCUAAAUUUAGGAAUUAGGUUAAAUGAUUAAGGUUAGGGGAAUGAUUAGCUAACAUUCUAAGUAGUUGAAAAGUUGCUAAUUAGUCAGUGAUGGGAUUUGAACUCGCAACUGCUGGGCUGCUAGACGUUGGCGUUAUAUGCUAACCCAUCCAGCCUGACUAAACAUUCUACCUUUGCAUUUUCCUUAAAGCAAAUUAAAAAAUCAUCACCUUAUGGUGCAUUUGGCUACAUAUGAGGCAAAACGCAGCAUCAUAGGAUUUUGGAUUUUGGACUAAUGAAACAAAUACCGAAAGAGUUUUUCCUUUAAGUAACCAUCUGUCUUAUGUAACCAUAUCAAACAACAUAUAAAACUAAUUUGAGUGUCCCGGAUUUACAUGUACUAUAUUAUGUCUAAUGUCUAAUCUAUUAGACCAGGCUGAUUGGAAAGAAGACUGAACCAGGUUUUCCUUUUGUAUUUUGCCUAUGUUUAGCUGUAUUCCAUUUUGUUUUAUAAAAAUAGUAUGAUGCAGCCACCACCGUGCUUGAAAAUUUGAAGAGUGCUUACUCAGUGAUGUGUUGUGUUGGAUUUUCCCCAAAUAUAACACUUUGUAUUCAGGACUUAAAAGUUUAUUUCUUUGCCACAUUUUUUUGCAGUAUUACUUAAGUGCCUUGUUGCAAACAGAAUGCAUGUUUUGAAAUAUUUUUUAUUCUGUACAGACUUACUUCUUUUCACUCUUUCAUUUAGGUUAGUAUUGUGGAGUAACUACAAUGUUGUUGAUCCAUCUUCAUUUUUCUCAUAUCACACAUCACGGACAAACUGAAUUGGUCCACCCACACAGACAGCGUGGUGAAGAAGGCGCAGCAGCGCUUCUUCAACCUCAGGAGGCUGAAGAAAUUUGGCUUGUCACCAAAAACACUCACAAACUUUUACAGAUGCACAAUCGAGAGCAUCCUGUCGGGCUGUAUCACUGCCUGGUACGGAAACUUCUCAUCCCACAACCGUAAGUCUCUCCAGAGGGUAGUGAGGUCUGCACAACGCAUCACCGGGGGCAAACUACCUGCCCUCCAGGACACCUACACCACCCGAUGUCACAGGAAGGACAAAAAGAUCAUCAAGGACAACAACCUCCCGAGCCACUGCCUGUUCACCCCGCUAUCAUCAGAAGAAGACCUGAGCCCUAGGACCAUGCCUCAGGACUACCUGGCAUGAUGACUCCUUGCUGUCCCCAGUCCACCUGGCCGUGCUGCUCCAGUUUGAACUGUUCUGUCUGCGGCUAUGGAACCCUGACCUGUUCACCGGACGUGCUACCUGUCCUAGACCUGCUGUUUUCAACUCUCUAGAGAUAGCAGGAGUGGUAGAGAUACUCUUAAUGAUCGGCUAUGAAAAGCCAACUGACAUUUUCUCUUGAGGUGCUGACUUCCUGCACACUCGACAACUACUGUGAUUAUUAUUAUUUGACCAUGCCAUGUUCUGUUAUAAUCUCCACUCAGCACAGCCAGAGUAGGACUGGCCAACACCCAUAGCCUGGUUCCUCUCUAGGUUUCUUCCUAGGUUUUGGCCUUUCUAUGGAGUUUUUCCUAGCCACCAUGCUUCUACUCCUGCAUUGCUUCCUAUUUGGGGUUUUAGGCUGGGUUUCUGUACAGCACUUUGAGAUAUCAGCUGAUGUAAGAAG
This is a long non-coding RNA of Oncorhynchus nerka (sockeye salmon), 4547 nucleotides long. RefSeq lists it as uncharacterized. The transcript is spliced from 3 exons. The record is from RefSeq and is a predicted model, not a curated record. NCBI's taxonomy places the organism in Eukaryota, Metazoa, Chordata, Actinopteri, Salmoniformes, Salmonidae.